Molecule: transfer RNA, 66 nt
Filed under: Bothriometopus macrocnemis
Lineage: Eukaryota; Metazoa; Arthropoda; Insecta; Psocodea; Philopteridae
Description: tRNA-Ile
Source: RNAcentral
AAUAUGAUGCCUGAUAAAAGGAUUAUCUUGAUGAGAUAAUUAUGGUUAUUUUCUAACCUCAUAUUA